GACCGAAGAUCUCGAAAGAAAGGUGGGCCGACUAAUGAGACAGGUGGAGGAGCUGUCAGUCCGUCAAAGAUUUUGUUUGGGGCGAUUUCAUGCUUCCGACGAUGAUAUAAGGUUCUACACUAGGUUCAUGACUUACAGGCAUUUAAUGAGUUUCUAGAAACUCAUUGAACCUGCAUCCCACAAAAUGAUUCGUUUGACCAGAGCAAGAGCAAAUACAAUGUGGAGUGAAGCUGAAACAAGAGACAGUACAUGGGGUCAGUCCCUGCAGCCCAUUGAUGAGUUCUUCCUCUUCAUGAUCAACCUCUCAGUUGGCCAAACACAGCGCGAUCUGUCCCACAGAUUCAAGAUUCAUCAGUCUACAGUUAGCCGAAUUAUUACAACCCGGGCCAAUUUUU
This is a long non-coding RNA of Etheostoma cragini (Arkansas darter), 395 nucleotides long. RefSeq lists it as uncharacterized. The record is from RefSeq and is a predicted model, not a curated record. Lineage: Eukaryota; Metazoa; Chordata; Actinopteri; Perciformes; Percidae. The transcript is spliced from 3 exons.